CUUUGUUUAUAGUUUGUACUUUGUGUUUGCACUCCUACUCAAAUUCAGCAUGGCGGAUUUAUAAGGGCCUUUUUGUUUUCAGUUUGGACACCGGUCACGUGACCAAGCACGCAUUCUAGGUCUAAUAUUUCUAUGAAUAAAACGUAUAGUACAAUUGCACUCUUGGGAAAUGGAACGUAUUCUAUUGCACUCUUGGGAAAUGGAAUUUUCUAUUCAAUUUUACGUGACCAUAAUAUAAAACAGCCAAUUAA
Molecule: non-coding RNA, 251 nt
Organism: Paramuricea clavata
Lineage: Eukaryota; Metazoa; Cnidaria; Anthozoa; Malacalcyonacea; Plexauridae
Source: the annotation of a GenBank genome assembly